Molecule: ribosomal RNA, 119 nt
Organism: Larimichthys crocea (large yellow croaker)
Lineage: Eukaryota; Metazoa; Chordata; Actinopteri; Sciaenidae
Source: Ensembl
GCUUACGGCCAUACCACCCUGAAUGCGCCCGAUCUCCUCUGAUCUCGGAAGCUAAGCAGCAUCAGGCCGGGUUAGUACUUGGAUGGGAGACCGCCUGGGAAUACCAGGUGCUGUAAGCU